CACAAAAGAGAUGUCAUCCUCAUCUUCUAGCCAUUUUGUCACAUCUUUUCUCGUAGCACUUUUUAUUAGUUGUUACAUAUUCUCUUCAACCUCAGCGGCUAGAGACCUUGCACAAAAAACCAACAAUGAAUUCGUGAAAACAUCUUGCAGUGCAACAACCUACCCAAAGCUUUGCCUUACUUCUCUUUCAAGCCAUGCAAGUGCAAUCCAAACAAGCCCUAAACUUAUGGCCAGCACAGCCCUCACCGUGACGCUUGCCUCCACCAAAUCAACCUCUACCAUGAUGUCAAAGCUCUAACAAAGUCAUGGCAUGAAGCCUAGAGAAGUCGGAGCCAUGAGGGACUGCAUCGAAGAGUUAAGUGAUUCGGUCGAUGCAAUUCAGAGGUCCAUAGCUGAGAUGGGCAACUUUAGGAGCUCGGAUUUUCAGUUCAUGAUAAGUGAUGUGCAAACUUGGGUUAGUGCUGCUUUGACGGAUGAGACAACAUGCUUUGAUGGGUUUGGUGGAAAUGGGAUGAACGGUAAUUUGAAGACUGUUGUGAGGGGCAGAGUUGUGAAUAUUGCACAAUUGACUAGCAAUGCCUUGGCUUUGAUCAACAGAUACGCCUCAGUUUAUGGUUAAACCAGUCAACUAGUCUACUGUACUUGGAUUAUUUUUUAAAGACGUAGAUGUCAGCAAUAUAUGUUGUAUGAUAAGAUAAGUUGCUACAUUCGGUUUGUACGUGUGACUGUUACUUAUUUUUUAUUUGAGUGAAUAUACGUAUCUCUACAAGUGUAGAGAAAUUGGUCUUGUAUUGUAUAAAUAAAUUUAUGGAUUCAAUUUUUAUUAGAUGGUGCAAAUUUGCAUAUGCUAAAAUACAAAGAAGUUUUGAAAAGUAGACAAAAUUUGGACAUGUACUAAAGACUUUUAGUAAAAUGUUUUGGGAGAGCUCGUACACUAAUUUUUUUUAUGUCAAAUAUGCAUUGUACAAUGGCAUUUCCACCUAGGAUUUGACAAAUUCUUUAAUGUAUUAAACCAACAGGUAGUUUUUCACUUUCUUUAAUUAAGUACUUGUAUAGAUUAAGGGCUCGUUUGAAUGUACUUUUAAAAUGACUGAAAGCGCUUUUAGAGAAAAUAUUUUUGGGUUACAAAAGCACGUUAAGUGCUUUUUGCAAGAAGCAUUAGUUAUGUGAUUCUUCCAGGAAGCACUUUAAGUGUUUUUCCAUGAUUUUCUUGCAUUUUUACUAAGGAGUGGUUCCAAAAACAUUUUCAUCAAAAGCGGUUUUAGUUAUUUUAAAAACACAUCCAAACAAGCUCUAAGAGAAUUGCUUGCCUACAAACCCUUAUGUUGAUAUAACGUUUCAACAAAUUGUUCAGAUAAUAGAAUUUCGGACAAAUAAAAAACUUUCCGAUAAUGAGAAACCAAGGAGUGGAAGGGAAAGAAAGACCAGAAAACUUUAUGGACUUAUUUGUGAUUUGGCUUGUUUAAUUUUAUGAGAUGGUGACGGGCUGCUUGUAGGUCAAGGUCCCCAGCUCUUGGUUGUACUUUGCUAGACAUAGCACAUUUUCUGUCAUGGUAAAAAGAUAGGCAACAAGAACACCCAAUUGUGAUGAGAAAAUGAGAAAGAUCGAACACGAACAAGCAGAAGGAAUGAAGCUUUACAGAGAGGAAAAGAAUGGAGAGGGAUGAUGCUUAUAACUUUUUUAUUGCUCUUUCUGAAUGAAUUGUACAAUCUGUUUUGCAAUGCUUUAUAUAGUUGAGCACAUUACUUAGCUCACAAGCUUUUUCAACCAACUUGAACUAACUCUUCAACUUAUUACAAUGAUUGGAUUCCAAUCCUUCUUAACAAUUAUAAUGAGCCGCCAUUGAUGAGCCGUCAGUCAACUGUAGUCGACAGAAAAAAUUCCAAUAAUUACAAGGUUUAGGACCGACAAGGAAAAGACAGCUUUGGCAGCCAUUUAUAACGUUAUUCAUGAAAUUGAAAUGUGGUACAAACUAACACAAGGUGAAGUCGGGUUCAUCAACUUGGUUUCUGGAGGCUCUCAUAUGAUUCAGUUGAUCAAUUUUAAUGAUUUGAGAUUAGAGAAUUAUAUGCAAUCUCAUUGGUGAAUAUUUACUUGCCAUUCAUAACCUUUUAUUUAUUGCAUGAUUAAUUUUUGAUGGACUUUGCAUAAUCUAAAUUUGUAUUGGAAUAAGAGGCUGCACCUUUUAUUAAGUUAGAUUUAGGGUACAAGAGUCUACUCAGCGAUAAUUUUUGGUACAAUAUUUUAUAAUAUUGACACAGGAAUUGACAUUAAACUGUGAGAUAACAAAGAGUUUAUGAAGAAUUCCACUUUAGAAGGAGUCUUCUAAAAAAGAAUCAAAUGCACCAGUUCCUUUUUUGUCUCCAUUUACUCCUACCACUCCUAUCUCCACUUUGAUAUGUAUAUUGCCCUCAACCAUCCCACAUGAUUAAUUUUGAUAUCUAUCCAUUGAUAGUUGUGAUAUUUUGAUAUAUAUCUAGAGUAAUGUUAGGUAUAUCAUUUUUUUAGACUAUAUUUAUAAAUUAUGUAAUGUGUCACCAAUAAAGAAUAAGUACGUUAAUCAACAUUUAAGUAAUAACUCAAUUGUAGUCUCCCUAACAUUAUCCAUAUAUCUAUGAAAAAUCCCUGUCGAGUCUGUACCCUUCCAUGCAUUAAAUCUCUUUCGCAAGUGCUACAUUUAAGGAGAGAGUUAUUUGUAUACAUGUCGACUGAAAAUCUCAAGUUGCGGGAAGACGCAUGCAAAUUACGCACAAGUUGAAUGCCUUCACUCACCGAUCAAGUUGGGAUCGAUUGAUCACAAUGAUUUAGACAAGUUCGAGUAUGGCUCUUUGGUUUCACAUUGCUUUAGAGUUUAGACGUCAAUGAACCAAUUGCAGCAAGUUCAUGAGAAACCAACAAAACCAACUGGCAACUCGAAAUUAUGUUUAGGAAACAGAUGUACCUGCCUCCAGCUGUAAUUUGGGACCGAAAAAAGACUUUUCCAUGUGCUUUUUAGAAUUGGUUCUAUAAAUUAGUGUCAUUCCCUUCCUACUUUCUUCACACUCUCUACACUGCUACUCUACUGCCUCCAAAAUCAAAGACACAAAAGAGAUGGCAUUCUCAUCUUCUAGCCAUUUUGUCACAUCUUUUCUCUUGGCACUUCUUAUUAGUUGCUACAUAUUCUCUUCAACCUCAGCAGCAAGAGACCUUGCACAAAAAACCAACAAUGAAUUCAUGAAAACAUCUUGCAGUGCAACAACCUACCCAAAGCUUUGCCUUACUUCUCUUUCAAGACAUUCAAGUGAAAUCCAAACAAGCCCUAAACUUAUGGCCAGCACAGCCCUCACCGUGACCCUUGCCUCCGCCAAAUCAACCUCUACCAUGAUGUCAAAGCUCUCCCAAAGUCAU
Molecule: long non-coding RNA, 3388 nt
Filed under: Malus domestica (apple)
Lineage: Eukaryota; Viridiplantae; Streptophyta; Magnoliopsida; Rosales; Rosaceae
Description: long non-coding RNA (MDOM_LNC018373)
Source: RNAcentral